GUGAGUAACACGUGGGAAACCUACCUCUUAGCAGGGGAUAACAUUUGGAAACAGAUGCUAAUACCGUAUAACAAUGACAACCGCAUGGUUGUUAUUUAAAAGAUGGUUCUGCUAUCACUAAGAGAUGGUCCCGCGGUGCAUUAGCUAGUUGGUAAGGUAAUGGCUUACCAAGGCGAUGAUGCAUAGCCGAGUUGAGAGACUGAUCGGCCACAAUGGGACUGAGACACGGCCCAUACUCCUACGGGAGGCAGCAGUAGGGAAUCUUCCACAAUGGGCGAAAGCCUGAUGGAGCAACGCCGCGUGUGUGAUGAAGGGUUUCGGCUCGUAAAACACUGUUGUAAGAGAAGAAUGACAUUGAGAGUAACUGUUCAAUGUGUGACGGUAUCUUACCAGAAAGGAACGGCUAAAUACGUGCCAGCAGCCGCGGUAAUACGUAUGUUCCAAGCGUUAUCCGGAUUUAUUGGGCGUAAAGCGAGCGCAGACGGUUAUUUAAGUCUGAAGUGAAAGCCCUCAGCUCAAC
Molecule: ribosomal RNA, 520 nt
Filed under: Weissella confusa
Lineage: Bacteria; Bacillati; Bacillota; Bacilli; Lactobacillales; Lactobacillaceae
Description: bacterial SSU rRNA
Rfam family: Bacterial small subunit ribosomal RNA
Source: RNAcentral